GACGAACGCUGGCGGCGUGCUUAACACAUGCAAGUCGAACGGAAAGGCCUGCUUUCCCUUGUGGAUUGCGGGUACUCGAGUGGCGAACGGGUGAGUAACACGUUAGUGAUCUGCCCCCAACUUGGAUAUAAGCCUGGGAAACUGGGUCUAAUUCCCGAUAGGACUGCAGGGUGGUGCCUGUGGUGGAAAACGAUUUUCUAGUGGUUGGGGAUGAGCUCGCGGCCUAUCAGCUUGUUGGUGGGGUAAUGGCAUACCAAGGCGGCGACGAGUAGUCGGCGUGGGACGCUGUACGCCGACAUUUGGACUGGGUUACGGCGCCGACUCCUACGGGCGGCAGGAAUGGGGACUCUUGCAGUUUAGUCGCUAGCCUGAUACAUCGCCUCCGGGUGGCAGAUUGCGGCCUUCGGGUCGUUACCUGCUUUCGACCGUGUGGAAGUCACCUUGUUUGUAGGGUGGUGACGGUAGUGGUAGAAGAAGCACCGGCUAACUACGUG
This 494-nucleotide ribosomal RNA is filed under the name uncultured bacterium. RNAcentral's name for it is "partial 16S ribosomal RNA". It matches the Rfam family "Bacterial small subunit ribosomal RNA", at positions 28 to 507 of the family's 1533-position model. The record is from RNAcentral.